AGUGAACGCUGGCGGUAGGCCUAACACAUGCAAGUCGAACGGCAGCACAGUAAGAGCUUGCUCUUACGGGUGGCGAGUGGCGGACGGGUGCGGAAUACAUCGGAAUCUACUUUUUCGUGGGGGAUAACGUAGGGAAGCUUACGCUAAUACCGCAUACGACCUACGGGUGAAAGCAGGGGAUCUUCGGACCUUGCGCGAUUGAAUGAGCCGAUGUCGGAUUAGCUAGUUGGCGGGGUAAAGGCCCACCAAGGCGACGAUCCGUAGCUGGUCUGAGAGGAUGAUCAGCCACACUGGAACUGAGACACGGUCCAGACUCCUACGGGAGGCAGCAGUGGGGAAUAUUGGACAAUGGGCGCAAGCCUGAUCCAGCCAUACCGCGUGGGUGAAGAAGGCCUUCGGGUUGUAAAGCACUUUUGUUGGGAAAGAAAAGCAGCAGGUUAAUACCCCGCUGUUCUGACGGUACCCAAAGAAUAAGCACCGGCUAACUUCGUG
Molecule: ribosomal RNA, 492 nt
Filed under: uncultured bacterium
Lineage: Bacteria
Description: partial 16S ribosomal RNA
Rfam family: Bacterial small subunit ribosomal RNA
Source: RNAcentral